This 437-nucleotide ribosomal RNA is filed under the name Candidatus Brocadia fulgida. RNAcentral describes it as "bacterial SSU rRNA". It matches the Rfam family "Bacterial small subunit ribosomal RNA", at positions 383 to 810 of the family's 1533-position model. The record is from RNAcentral. RNAcentral also lists the same sequence under 2 other names. Lineage: Bacteria; Pseudomonadati; Planctomycetota; Candidatus Brocadiia; Candidatus Brocadiales; Candidatus Brocadiaceae.
GUGACGAAGCGACGCCGCGUGCGGGAAGAAGGCCUUCGGGUUGUAAACCGCUGUCGGGAGUUAGGAAGUGCAAGGAUGUUAAUAGCGUUCUUGCUUGACUAAGGCUCCGGAGGAAGCCACGGCUAACUCUGUGCCAGCAGCCGCGGUAAUACAGAGGCGGCAAGCGUUGUUCGGAAUUAUUGGGCGUAAAGAGCACGUAGGCGGCUGUGUAAGUCGGUUGUGAAAGCCUUCCGCUUAACGGAAGAACGGCAUCCGAUACUGCAUAGCUUGAGUGCGGGAGGGGAGAGUGGAACUUCUGGUGGAGCGGUGAAAUGCGUAGAUAUCAGAAGGAACACCGGCGGCGAAGGCGACUCUCUGGUCCGUAACUGACGCUGAGUGUGCGAAAGCUAGGGGAGCAAACGGGAUUAGAUACCCCGGUAGUCCUAGCCGUAAACGAU